UGGGGAAUAUUGGACAAUGGGCGAAAGCCUGAUCCAGCCAUGCCGCGUGUGUGAAGAAGGUCUUCGUAUUGUAAAGCACUUUAAGUUGGGAGGCAGGGCAGUAAGCGAAUACCUUGCUGUUUUGACGUUACCGACAGAAUAAGCACCGGCUAACUCUGUGCCAGCAGCCGUGGUAAUACAGAGGUUGCAAGCGUUAAUCAGAAUUACUUGGCGUAAAGCGCGCGUAGGUUGUUCGUUAAGUUGAAUGUGAAAGCCCAGGGCUCAACCUGGGAACUGCAUCCAAAACUGGCGAGCUAGAGUAGGGCAGAGGGUGGUGGAAUUUCCUGUGUAGCGGAGAAAUGCGUAGAUAUAGGAAGGAACAACAGUGGCGAAGGCGACCACCUGGGCUCAUACUGACACUGAGGUGCGAAAGCGUGGGGAGCAAACAGG
RNAcentral lists this ribosomal RNA (429 nucleotides) under Pseudomonadota bacterium. Its description in RNAcentral is "Proteobacteria bacterium partial 16S ribosomal RNA". It matches the Rfam family "Bacterial small subunit ribosomal RNA", at positions 355 to 776 of the family's 1533-position model. Lineage: Bacteria; Pseudomonadati; Pseudomonadota. The record is from RNAcentral.